Molecule: long non-coding RNA, 2632 nt
Filed under: Homo sapiens (human)
Lineage: Eukaryota; Metazoa; Chordata; Mammalia; Primates; Hominidae
Description: HSALNT0332753
Source: RNAcentral
GGGACAUGUAAGGCAAGGUAUGGGGGAAGGGGCUCAGAGCUUCCAUGGCCUCCCUGGUUGUGCCACCCUUCAGGAGGCUCCACUUUUUCAAGUAUCCAGAAGCUCCUGAACCCUGUCCUCGUGGAUUUUCACGGAGGCUUCAUGACAUCAGCAUUCCUUACCUCAGGGUAUAGGAUGGGACCCUCUUAUGGGAGGGUCUUAAGACCCACAAUCAGUCUUUGCCGCCGCGCCGGCGAGCGCCGCCCGGGAGGCAGCGGCUGGAGGAGCGGACGGGCCCCGCGGGGCCCGAGGGCAAGGAGCAGCCGCCGGCCUUGGCCUCCCAAAGUGCCGAGAUUGCAGCCUCUGCCCGGCUGCCACCCCGUCUGGGAAGUGAGGAGUGUUUCUGCCUGGCCGCCCAUCGUCUGGGAUGUGAGGAGCCCCUCUGCCUGGCUGCCCAGUCUGGAAAGUGAGGAGCGUCUCCGCCCGGCCGCCAUCCCAUCUAGGAAGUGAGGAGCGCCUCUUCCCAGCCGCCAUCACAUCUAGGAAGUGAGGAGCGUCUCUGCCCGGCCGCCCAUCGUCUGAGAUGUGGGGAGCGCCUCUGCCCCGCCGCCCCAUCUGGGAUGUGAGGAGCGCCUCUGCCCGGCCGAGACCCCGUCUGGGAGGUGAGGAGCGUCUCUGCCCGGCCGCCCCGUCUGAGAAGUGAGGAGACCCUCUGCCUGGCAACCGCCCCGUCUGAGAAGUGAGGAGCCCCUCCGCCCGGCAGCUGCCCCGUCUGAGAAGUGAGGAGCCUCUCCACCCGGCAGCCACCCCAUCUGGGAAGUGAGGAGCGUCUCCGCCCGGCAGCCACCCCGUCCGGGAGGGAGGUGGGGGGGGGUCAGCCUCCCGCCCGGCCAGCCGCCCCAUCAGGGAGGGAGGUGGGGGUUCAGCCCCGCCGCCCGGCCAGCCGUGCCAUCCGGGAGGGAGGUGGGGGGGUCAGCCCCCCGCCUGGCCAGCCGCCCCGUCCGGGAGGUGAGGGGCGCCUCUGCCCGGCCGCCCCUACUGGGAAGUGAGGAGCCCCUCAGCCCGGCCAGCCACCCCGUCCGGGAGGGAGAUGGGGGGGUCAGCCCCCCCACCCGGCCAGCCGCCCCGUCCGGGAGGGAGGUGGGGGGGUCAGCCCCCCGCCCGGCCAGCCGCCCCGUCCGGGAGGGAGGUUGGGGGGUCAGCCCUCCGCCCGGCCAGCCUCCCCGUCUGGGAGGUGAGGGGCGCCUCUGCCCGGCCGCCCCUACUGGGAAGUGAGGAGCCCCUCUGCCCGGCCAGCCGCCCCGUCCGGGAGGGAGGUGGGGAGGUCGGCCCCCCGCCCGGCCAGCCGCCCCGUCCGGGAGGGAGGUGGGGGGGUCGGCCCCCCGCCCGGCCAGCCGCCCCGUCCGGGAGGGAGGUGGGGGGGUCGGCCCCCCGCCCGGCCAGCCGCCCCGUCCGGGAGGGAGGUGGGGGGGGGGUCAGCCCCCCCGCCCGGCCAGCCGCCCCGUCCGGGAGGUGAGGGGCGCCUCUGCCCGGCCGCCCCUACUGGGAAGUGAGGAGCCCCUCUGCCCGGCCAGCCGCCCCGUCCGGGAGGGAGGUGGGGGUGUCAGCCCCCCGCCCGGCCAGCCGCCCCGUCCGGGAGGGAGGUGGGGGGGGUCAGCCCCCCCGCCCGGCCAGCCUCCCCGUCCGGGAGGUGAGGGGCGCCUCUGCCCGGCCGCCCCUACUGGGAAGUGAGGAGCCCCUCUGCCCGGCCAGCCGCCCCGUCCGGGAGGGAGGUGGGGGGGGUCAGCCCCCCCGCCCGGCCAGCCGCCCCGUCCGGGAGGUGAGGGGCGCCUCUGCCUGGCCGCCCCUACUGGGAAGUGAGGAGCCCCUCUGCCCGGCCACCACCCCGUCUGGGAGGUGUGCCCAACAGCUCAUUGAGAACGGGCCAGGAUGACAAUGGCGGCUUUGUGGAAUAGAAAGGCGGGAAAGGUGGGGAAAAGACUGAGAAAUCGGAUGGUUGCCCUGUCUGUGUAGAAAGAAGUAGACAUGGGAGACUUUUCAUUUUGUUCUGCACUAAGAAAAAUUUCUCUGCCUUGGGAUCCUGUUGAUCUGUGACCUUACCCCCAACCCUGUGCUCUCUGAAACAUGUGCUGUGUCCACUCAGGGUUAAAUGGAUUGAGGGCGGUGCAAGAUGUGCUUUGUUAAACAGAUGCUUGAAGGCAGCAUGCUCGUUAAGAGUCAUCACCAAUCCCUAAUCUCAAGUAAUCAGGGACACAAACACUGCGGAAGGCCGCAGGGUCCUCUGCCUAGGAAAACCAGAGACCUUUGUUCACUUGUUUAUCUGCUGACCUUCCCUCCACUAUUGUCCCAUGACCCUGCCAAAUCCCCCUCUGUGAGAAACACCCAAGAAUUAUCAAUAAAAAAAUAAAUUAAAAAAAAAAAAAAAGAGGAAAUUCAAAUGCUCUCAGAGAAAGCAAGAGGAUGCUGAUAGAAUUGACCUGGAUAAGUCGGGGGCAUGGCGGUUCACGCAUAAACCCAGCACCUUAGAAGGCCGAGAUGAGAGGAUCGUUUGAGCCCAAGAGUCAGAGCCCAGCCUGGACAACAUAGGGAGACCCCACCUCUACAAAAAAAUAAAAUAAAAUAUCACAAAAUAAAAUAAAAGAAUUUAUCUAGA